UGAGUGGUCGAAGGCACCGGUUUCGAAAACCGGCAUGCGGGCAACUGCAUCGAGGGUUCGAAUCCCUCCCUCUCCGCCA
This 79-nucleotide transfer RNA is filed under the name Ignavibacteria bacterium. RNAcentral describes it as "tRNA-Ser". It matches the Rfam family "tRNA", at positions 12 to 71 of the family's 71-position model. Rfam says of the family: Transfer RNA (tRNA) molecules are approximately 80 nucleotides in length. Their secondary structure includes four short double-helical elements and three loops (D, anti-codon, and T loops). Further hydrogen bonds mediate the characteristic L-shaped molecular structure. tRNAs have two regions of fundamental functional importance: the anti-codon, which is responsible for specific mRNA codon recognition, and the 3' end, to which the tRNAs corresponding amino acid is attached (by aminoacyl-tRNA synthetases). tRNAs cope with the degeneracy of the genetic code in two manners: having more than one tRNA (with a specific anti-codon) for a particular amino acid; and 'wobble' base-pairing, i.e. permitting non-standard base-pairing at the 3rd anti-codon position. The record is from RNAcentral. Lineage: Bacteria; Pseudomonadati; Ignavibacteriota; Ignavibacteria.